CUGGGUUUGACAUAUACCGGACCGCCGAUGAAAGUCGGCUUUCCUUCGGGACCAGUAAACAGGUGCUGCAUGGCUGUCGUCAGCUCGUGUCGUGGGAUGUUGGGUUAAGUCCCGCAACGAGCGCAACCCUUGUCCAUAGUUGCCAGCGGUUCGGCCGGGAACUCUAUGGAGACUGCCAGCGACAAGCUGGAGGAAGGCGGGGACGACGUCAAGUCAUCAUGGCCCUUAUGGGCAGGGCUACACACGUGCUACAAUGGUCGGUACAGAGGGCUGCAAACCCGCGAGGGGGAGCCAAUCCCAGAAAGCCGAUCGUAGUCCGGAUCGGAGUCUGCAACUCGACUCCGUGAAGUCGGAAUCGCUAGUAAUCGCGAAUCAGCAUUGUCGCGGUGAA
This 391-nucleotide ribosomal RNA is filed under the name uncultured bacterium. RNAcentral describes it as "bacterial SSU rRNA". It matches the Rfam family "Bacterial small subunit ribosomal RNA", at positions 975 to 1366 of the family's 1533-position model. The record is from RNAcentral.